Brassica napus (rape) is the source of this 4490-nucleotide long non-coding RNA. RefSeq lists it as uncharacterized. NCBI's taxonomy places the organism in Eukaryota, Viridiplantae, Streptophyta, Magnoliopsida, Brassicales, Brassicaceae. The transcript is spliced from 2 exons. The record is from RefSeq and is a predicted model, not a curated record.
UUAUAAAAGUUUUAUGAAUUCAAAUUAGUUAUGACAAAUAUAAGAACCAUAUUAUAAAAUAUAAAGAGUUUUGAAGUUGAGUUUGAAGUUUUGCUUUUGGAGAAAAACACCUUUAAACUUCAAAUAUAGAAUUUUGGAAACUUCAAAAUAGAGUUCCUUUUUGAAGAUGCUCUUAGAUAUGGCUCUACUACAUAUGUGUGUUGUUAUUGGACAAAAAUCUCAUAUGGACCAAAUGGCCAAAAAAUAAUCUCCCACCACCUAAAUUAUUCUAUGUGGACCAAAUAUGUGUAAAUGUCGUUUUUGCCAUUAAUGAUGGGUCAAUAUGAACUCUUCGAUCAAAUCAUUUCUGUUUUAAUGAGAGCCAUUGGAUCAUGAGAGGAAAGAAGGGAUGAAAUAUUACAAGAUUGCCAUUAAUGAAACUUAAUCAUGAGCCGUCAGAUCUUCUCAUCAUAUUUUAAUUUUGGCCAUCGAUUUCGCUCAUCUCUCCUUCACUCUCAUUCUAUUUCCUUAUCUCAACCACGCACAGCCACACAAGCUUCUUUAUUUCAUUCGCAUUCGACUGGGUACAACUAGUAUAACUCUUACAACUAAACAUGUUAAAAAAUUGAAUUACUAGUAUAACUAGUAUAUAAAUGUUAUAAGUUAUGUAUUAUAUGUAGUUACUAUAAUUAACACGACUAAAAUCAUGCUUUACAUAUGAAAUAAACAAGAAAAUAUCAUAACUGGUAUAUGAAGACAAAAAUUCAUCUAUUUUAUUUGAGAUUUUUCAUAUUUUUGUUAAAUUAUUACAUUAUAUAUUUUUUACUUUUAAGGUUUGUUAACUAUAUUAGCAAUAUUAUUAUGAUAAACAAACAUCAAACAUAUUUUUACAAAGUUAUGAUGUGAAAAUAUUGGUAAAAUCCUAAAACUAGACAUAUAAACAAUUGAUAUAUAUUUUUAUUAUAUAUUAGACGAGUAUUACUUGUACAACUAGUACAACUUUGACAUUUCAGAAAUUAAUAAAACUAAUUUGGUACUCCAUAUGAGAAAACAAUCAAAUAUCCCAAUUAGUAUGUACUCAAAAAGUUUCUCUUCGUUUAUUUGUAGCUUUGGAAUUAUUUAUUUGAAAAUUACUGCACAAUUCCAUAAUAUACAUGAUCUACCAUAUACUUUUAAGGUUUGUUAACUUGUUUGUCCACAUAAUUUUUGGAAAACAUACAUGAAAUAUAUUUUUACAAAAUUGUUUAUUUCAUUGUAACCGGGUAAAGACAUGUAAACAUAAAUAAGUGGUACAACUGAAGUAACUGUAUUUAUUAUGUGGUACAACUAAUAUUUUUCGAUUUCACAGCUAAUGUACAACUAUGCACAAACAGGUACAACUUAAAAACUAGUACACCUAUGUUAUAGCCGGUAUAACUAGCAAACUGGUACAACUACUUGUUAUUUUAUUUAGUAUUGUUUUAAAUGUGCAUCACGCUUUAAAUGUGUAUCAUGUUUUAAGCAUUGUGGUUUUACACUAAUGUCGAGUAUUGACUAAAAUACCUAUAAAUUUAAGCUAAAAAAAUCAUAAGAAAGAGGUUCUUCGGGUUAAUUUGGUGAUUUAUAGGGAUCACUAGCGGGCUGAGAUGGCGCAUCCGUUGACGGUUUCGGGAAAAUACCACCUUGAGGGUCCGGUUGAGAUGCUGUUUCUCUUUCGCAGUUCCAAGCUCGCUUGGUUGGAUUUGACACGGACACACCCUUCUUCUUCUUUUUUGUUCGUCGCCGGUGAGUUGCUCUUAGUCGUAGUCGACGCUCUCACCUUCUUCUUUCUGGUGACUCGCAUUAUAGAGCCAUCGUUGAAGAAUUUUCUGGCUCCACAUCUAGUUUUUUGGUCUCGAGAGAAAAAGAUGAAGAUGAUUUUUCCCGAAAAAUAGUACAACUAGUAUAACUAGUAUAACUUGUAAACAUAUCAACACCCAAAUCAAAUAUUAUUAAAAAUAUAUUAUUCAUAUAUUUGACAUAUGCAACCGGAGGAGAUUAGACCAAUAUGUCUUAUUAGUUCUACAUCAUCUUCUUCUAUAGCAUUUUCAUAUGCUGAUACAAUAAAUAAAAGUAACUAUAAUGCUAUUUCAUAAUUUCUCAAAGCAAUGUCAUCCUUUUUUUGGUGAUAAUAAACAUGGUGAUGACGCAUAAGAAAAUCACUUAUCAAAUAAUGUCUAGGUUAUACUUAAUAUAUUUAUACUAGUUAUGUACUCAUUUUAGUUGUACUAGUUGUACUAAUUAGAGUUGCACUAGUUGUACUAGUUGGAGUUGUACUAGUUGUACUAGUAAUACUCUGCGUUCUUCUUUAUCUUGAAUCUCGUAUGUAAAAGAUGAAAUUUGAUUUUGGAUAAUAUAUAAUUGGCUAAAUCUUUCUAUGGAUUGAUCGAUUUGAGAUAAGAAAGAGAAAAUUAGUGGAUGUUUGAAGAAAUUUUUUGAUUUUGUUUUAUGGUGAAAAAACUAAUAAUGGAGAAGAAAAGGGGAAGAAGAAGAAGAGUUGUGUUGAAUUUCAUGUCUGAAACCGGGUCGGAUUCUGGGUAUGUUUAGGUCCUUAGGUUGUUUAGUUAUUUUAGUUAGAUUUUUAUUUAAAUUUAAAUGUCAAAAAAAAAGGAUGGGUCUAAUUCAGAUUUUUUGGAACCCAAUUGGUCCAUACUAGCAUUUGUUCCGUUGUUAUUAAAUGUAAAGAGACUUUCUAUCAUUAUUAGAUUAUCUCCGUAAGUGGACUUAAACUUGAGAUACAUAAAUUUGUGGAAUUAGACCAAAAGAAGAGGGGGAACAAAAUCCAUAAACAGAAAAAAAAUCAGAGAAAACAACGUACCAUUGCAGAUAAAUCUUGUUUUCAUCAAUAAUCUCCAGUGUAUGUAUAACAAAACAGAUAAAUUUCAAUCAAAAACGUCUAAAAAAUCCUAUAAUUACAGUACCAGUUCCUAAUACCAAAAGUAGGAAUUAAACAUACGAAAGGUCAGUUGUUUAAUGUUGAGUUUUGUAUCACCAUUAAACAUAGCGAUAAUGAUUACGCUGAGACACCACCAUUCAAGAAUUGUUAGCGGAGAUCUUAACGCUCUUCAUUGACUCACAUCGUGCGUUUCUCUCUCUAUUUUCAUUGAAUAUUUAUUGAGAUAUCAAUAAGUGAAAGAGAUCCAGAGAGCCGGAAAAUCUAGGAACUUGGGUAUAAGAAAGCUAAACAGAAAAGCCCCAAUAGAAGAGAGAACGGUAGCCGUUAAUUCGGCAAUAGAUGCUUCAAAUUCUUUUUAUCUCAAACGUUUUCUCCGGCUCUUCUUUAAUUUUUCAGCGGGACUCACAAAAUGCUUGAUGACAUGGAUAGCUUUAGAAGAGAGAAAAGUGUACUAUUAUAAUAUAGAUUCAUUUUGUAGGGGAACAUUGUGUCCACUCCACCAACUUCAGGAACCAUUUUACCAGGAACCACAAGGAAAAGUGUUGUAAUUUUGCUCAAGGCCUUGACCUCUCCACUAACUUAACUCACGGGCAACCUCUCUGUUUUUGUACUUGUGUUACAAUGUCAUAACACAAGAUACUCACUCUCUUUACUCUCUCACUCACGUUUGUUGUUGUUAUAGAGAGAGAAGAAAGGAUACUUUAGUUGUCUACAUUUCUACUCUUUCUAACUCUUUUUCUUUUUGAAUUGGAUGCAUUCUUACAACACCACACACAUAUUUAUAGUAGUUUUCUCUAACUACUACAUACACAUAUUUAGACUUUUAGCCUAACCAUUCUCACUUGUCUAUACCUAGACUAAGUUUACAACAAAAGUCUAAACACUCCAACAACUUCUUUGACUUCUCCUUUGAAUUUGUUGGCUCUUGUCUCUUUCACACUUUUCUUUUCUUCUUUUCUUUUUGUUUCUUUUUCUUGUUUAAUCAAAUGAUUCAAUUCCAACAAAAAGCAUAAGCGAGCUAGCUCGUGAUAUCGGCUACCAGGUUCCAAACAUAUUAUAAAACUUUCGUAUAGACAUUCUUUUAUGAAAUCAAGAUUGUGACUCAGAAAAUGUUUAAACAUGUUCAAGAACGUGAUGUUUCAGUGGAUGAGUUAUUAGAGGCAGAAGAAGUUUUCUGUACUGGAACUGCAGUGGUCGUUAAAGCUGCUGAAACCGUGACCUUCCAUGACAGGAAGACAGGAGAAGAGGCGUUGUCUACAGAAGCUUCACUGGAUGUUGACGAGUAUUCAGACAGGUCUUGUUGAAGAUACAAAAGGUUGGAUGGUUGAUCUCGAUGGUUGUCAAGGUUGAGAAGAAGAAGAAGAUCUGGAUAAGCUGAUGCUAAUGAUCUUCAUCUUUUACUGAACGGUGUAUCUUUCUCUUUUAGAGUGUUUUCUUUUGUUUUCUAUUGUGAGACUUGUAAUGAAGACCUCUAAUGCACUACUCAGUGUUACAGUUUCCAGGUCCUAUACGGCACCGUUUCGAUUAGGGUCGUCGCCGUUGAAUAAAAAGUGUUGGGAAGGAAAAGACUUAAAGGCUAUAAAACCUCAUUGCAGUU